UGGCCUGUGAUGAUAGCAAUUGUCAAAACACCAUCUUUCGGGACUGAAUGGCUUUGAAGCCUUGCUGUUAUUCUGCAAUACUGAGGCCU
This is a small nucleolar RNA of Malania oleifera, 89 nucleotides long. RefSeq annotates it as small nucleolar RNA SNORD96 family. The transcript has a single exon. The record is from RefSeq and is a predicted model, not a curated record. Lineage: Eukaryota; Viridiplantae; Streptophyta; Magnoliopsida; Santalales; Ximeniaceae.